This 301-nucleotide ribosomal RNA is filed under the name uncultured bacterium. RNAcentral's name for it is "partial 16S ribosomal RNA". It matches the Rfam family "Bacterial small subunit ribosomal RNA", at positions 509 to 809 of the family's 1533-position model. The record is from RNAcentral.
CAGCCGCCGCGGUAAUACAGAGGGUGCAAGCGUUAAUCGGAAUUACUGGGCGUAAAGCGCGCGUAGGUGGUUCGCCAAGUUGGAUGUGAAAUCCCCGGGCUCAACCUGGGAACUGCAUCCAAAACUGGCGAGCUAGAGUAUGGUAGAGGGUGGUGGAAUUUCCUGUGUAGCGGUGAAAUGCGUAGAUAUAGGAAGGAACAUCAGUGGCGAAGGCGACCACCUGGACUGAUACUGACACUGAGGUGCGAAAGCGUGGGGAGCAAACAGGAUUAGAUACCCCGGUAGUCCCUGUCUCUUAUAA